UUUAAAGCUCUUUUUCUUAAAAAAAAAAAAAAGAAAGAAAAAAAAAUCUACAAGCCUGAUGAUUUUGCCGUUUUUCGAAUCCUAACGAACAGAAAACUCACGGUCCAACCAAUCCAACUCCACCAUUUCUGAAGGAAGAAACUUCAAUUCAUCAACUUUCUUUAAUCUCCUUGACAAUGCUCCAACAACAUGAGAUGUUUAGUUGGAUCUCUCUUUAACAGUUUGACAUUGGCUAGGCCAACUUCCUGAUCAUUUUCAUCAGUGGUAACUGGUAACUGGUUUUUACAGUUUCCAUUGAUUAUUUCUUGUACAAUUCAUCAGUUGUUUUCAAUCUCUCUCUCUCUUCUAAUAGAUGGAAAAGGGCAUUCUUAAGUAUGCAAGAGUUACGAUGAGUUGACUGGUUAGGUCCAGACAAUGGGAGAGUCAUAAGAUCGGAAGUACUUUUUCGUCCUUGUAUUCCAAUUUUCCAAAUGUUGUUCAAAAUCCUACUCUUUUUGGUCAGGUAGUCCAUAGCUCAGUUGCCUUCCAUUCUUUGACUCAUUUAUUAGCUAUAUUGUUUUAGAGUUUAAGUUAUUCUGUAUGUCAUUGUUAUCUGUGUUCCAUUCAACUUGAACCAUUUUAAAUUUUACAUUGUUUUAUAAAUGGAACAAUUAAGAAGUUUGUCCCUUUUGUGCCAGCUAUAUAGCAAGUCUUUAAAGAAUUGUUUCCCUUCACUUUGCUAUCGCUUUAUCUUUGCCUAUGCAGUUCAUAGAUUUUACAGAAUUUGGUUUAUUUAUCCCUAUCCACUGGAGAUAUCUAACGACUCAUUGAUCAAGAAACCGAAGAGGUUAACAUCGGUAGUUUGAAAUCGAUUUGAGAAGGCCAAAACGACAGACAUUUGUUAUGAUGUUUGUGUGCAUUGCUACAAGAAGCUCAGUGGCUCAAUUAAUAGCAGAAUCACACAUUUAAGAAAUCAAUUGAUUUGAUGUCUAAAAUGAUUCAAUCAUGACGUUUGUCAACUACUUGCAGCCAAAAGAUUAAAAAGGACGGUUCAAGUGGUCUUGGAAACAUCAGCUCUUCUGAAGGGCAGAGAAAAGAUGAGUUUAAAUAGGCAAUUGUGAAAUAUGAUCUGGAUCAGAGAAAGGAUGAAGUAGUCACCAUUGCAAGUAGUAAGUUUGAUUAAGAGCCGAUUCAGAAUGAUCUUGCUGAGGUUAUCCAUUGUCUAUUGUUGAGCAUGUAGGGUUUAAAGUUUUUGUCAAAAAUGUUCAGCCGUUGUUUUUGUUACUCAAUAGCAUUGUUGAGCUUUCUUGUGUGGAAAUCUAUUAGAAGAAGAAAGAGAAGAUGUUUUAAACCAUCAAUAGAUUGCAGGAUAGAACUAUCGUUUCGGUUGAAAUGUGGCUUUCAUCAGAAAAUAUUGACUAUUUUGACGAGAAUUGGAAAUUACAGAAAAAGCUUUUGAAUUUUAUCACACUUGAUUCAUACUGAGUACAUCCGCUCAUGCUUGAUUAUUAAAGGGACUGGUGGACUGGGACAGUGAGUGUAAGAUAUUUGCACUGUAUUUGAUGAUUUUUCGACCAAUGACGAGAUCAUCAGCAGAAUAAAGAACACAUGUCGAAGAAAAGGCCUCUUUUGAGUAACGGUAGACUAUUUGACGUAUGCCCGGUUGCACAUACCAUGAAUCCAAUUGCUAAAGACGUGACAGAAGCGAUGCAAGAGGUUAACAAAAAGAUUCAAGGGAGUUUUAAAUAUAUCAGAAGUUCACAUGUCACUCAAGAGAGGUUCAAUGAGAUGGCUCAUCAAAUUGGGAUCACCAGUCAGACGAUAUUGGUCUGACAGUCGUGGUCAAUGAAAUUGAAAUGGUUGUGGAAUACAACGAUCCAUUUAAUCUUCUACAAAAGCAUGAUCCUCAGUUGCAUUAGCUCUCUUACUGCUUUAGAGUGGGAAUGGACAAGUAGUGUUGCUGACUAUUUGGAACUUUUUGUCAAAAUCGUGAACUCUUCUCAGGCAACAGAUCUCCUAUGGCAAAUAUAUAUUUUCCUGAGAUAUGUGAUGUCCACAUUCAAUUAAUCAAGUGGUGUAAGAACUCGGAUAAUCUUCUCAACUCCCUUGCAUUGAAAGAAAAAAACCAAGUUUGAUAAAUAUUGGACAAAAUGGAGUCUGGCUUUGGCAGUAGCUGCAGUUCUAGAUCCAAGGUUCAAAUGAAGUUGUUUGAAUACUACGAUUUGCAGAUUUACAGUAGUACAACCUUGGAUCCUAUCAAGGAAACUUCUGAUGGUAUUAGGGAACUUUAUAAUGCAUAUUCAAUCUGCUUUACAAUGGUUGAUCAAGGUUCAGCUUGGCGUGGAAGUAGUUUAUGUUAGAAUUUGUGUCCUAAAACUCAUACUUUGUUAUUUGAUUCAAUAAGAUUUAUUAUUAAAUGCUAUAAUCUUAAAACUAAUAAAUUUAAGGUCCUGAGGCUAUUUACUA
Cucumis melo (muskmelon) is the source of this 2445-nucleotide long non-coding RNA. RefSeq lists it as uncharacterized. Lineage: Eukaryota; Viridiplantae; Streptophyta; Magnoliopsida; Cucurbitales; Cucurbitaceae. The record is from RefSeq and is a predicted model, not a curated record. The transcript is spliced from 2 exons.